UAAGGUCACGGCAAGACGAGCCGUUUACGUUUAUCAUCACGAUAGGUGCUAAGUGGAGGUACAGUAAUGUAUGCAGCUGAGGCAUCCUAACAGACCGAGAGGUUUGAAC
Molecule: ribosomal RNA, 109 nt
Filed under: Pityrogramma trifoliata
Lineage: Eukaryota; Viridiplantae; Streptophyta; Polypodiopsida; Polypodiales; Pteridaceae
Description: 4.5S ribosomal RNA
Source: RNAcentral